This 492-nucleotide ribosomal RNA is filed under the name uncultured bacterium. Its description in RNAcentral is "partial 16S ribosomal RNA". It matches the Rfam family "Bacterial small subunit ribosomal RNA", at positions 29 to 507 of the family's 1533-position model. The record is from RNAcentral.
AGUGAACGCUGGCGGUAGGCCUAACACAUGCAAGUCGAACGGCAGCACAGUAAGAGCUUGCUCUUACGGGUGGCGAGUGGCGGACGGGUGAGGAAUACAUCGGAAUCUACUUUUUCGUGGGGGAUAACGUAGGGAAACUUACGCUAAUACCGCAUACGACCUACGGGUGAAAGCAGGGGAUCUUCGGACCUUGCGCGAUUGAAUGAGCCGAUGUCGGAUUAGCUAGUUGGCGGGGUAAAGGCCCACCAAGGCGACGAUCCGUAGCUGGUCUGAGAGGAUGACCACCCACACUGGAACUGAGACACGGCCCAGACUCGACGGGGAGGCAGCAGGGGGAAAUAUUGGAGAAGGGGCGCAAGCUUGACCCAGCCAUACCGCGGGGGUGAAGAAGGCCUUCGGUUUGUAAACCCUUUUUGUGGGAAAAGAAAAGCAGCAGGUUAAUACCCCGCUGUUCUGACGGUACCAAAAAAAUAAGCCCCGGCUAACUUCGUG